Molecule: unclassified non-coding RNA, 337 nt
Filed under: soil metagenome
Description: partial contains 5.8S ribosomal RNA, internal transcribed spacer 2, and large subunit ribosomal RNA
Rfam family: 5.8S ribosomal RNA (bases 1-120)
Source: RNAcentral
GAUGAAUAACGUAGCGAAAUGCGAUAAGUAGUGUGAAUUGCAGAAUUCAGUGAAUCAUCGAAUCUUUGAACGCACAUUGCGCCCCUUGGUAUUCCAUGGGGCAUGCCUGUUCGAGCGUCAUUUGUACCUUCAAGCUCUGCUUGGUGUUGGGUGUUUGUCUCGCCUCUGCGUGUAGACUCGCCUCAAAACAAUUGGCAGCCGGCGUAUUGAUUUCGGAGCGCAGUACAUCUCGCGCUUUGCACUCAUAACGACGACGUCCAAAAGUACAUUUUUACACUCUUGACCUCGGAUCAUGUAGGGAUACCCGCUGAACUUAAGCAUAUCAAUAAGCGGAGGA